CCAAGUUUUUAAGGGCGCACGGUGGAUGCCUUGGCACCAGGAACCGAUGAAGGACGUGGGAGGCCACGAUAGUCCCCGGGGAGUCGUCAACCAGGCUUUGAUCCGGGGGUUUCCGAAUGGGGAAACCCGGCAGUCGUCAUGGGCUGUCACCCGCUGCUGAACACAUAGGCAGUGUGGAGGGAACGCGGGGAAGUGAAACAUCUCAGUACCCGCAGGAAGAGAAAACAACCGUGAUUCCGGGAGUAGUGGCGAGCGAAACCGGAUGAGGCCAAACCGUAUGCGUGUGAGACCCGGCAGGGGUUGCGUAUACGGGGUUGUGGGAUCUCUCUUUCACGGUCUGCCGGCUGUGAGACGAGUCAGAAACCGUUGAUGUAGGCGAAGGACAUGCGAAAGGUCCGGCGUAGAGGGUAAGACCCCCGUAGUCGAAACGUCAGCGGCUCGUUUGAGAGACACCCAAGUAGCACGGGGCCCGAGAAAUCCCGUGUGAAUCUGGCGGGACCACCCGCUAAGCCUAAAUAUUCCCUGGUGACCGAUAGCGGAUAGUACCGUGAGGGAAUGGUGAAAAGUACCCCGGGAGGGGAGUGAAAUAGUACCUGAAACCGUGUGCCUACAAGCCGUGGGAGCGUCGGAACAAGGCUUGCCUUGUUCUCGUGACUGCGUGCCUUUUGAAGAAUGAGCCUGCGAGUUUGCGGUGUGUUGCGAGGUUAACCCGGGUGGGGAAGCCGUAGCGAAAGCGAGUCCGAAUAGGGCGCUGUAGUAGCACGCUCAAGACCCGAAGCGGAGUGAUCUAGCCAUGGGCAGGUUGAAGCGGAGGUAAGACUUCGUGGAGGACCGAACCCACCAGGGUUGAAAACCUGGGGGAUGACCUGUGGUUAGGGGUGAAAGGCCAAUCAAACUCCGUGAUAGCUGGUUCUCCCCGAAAUGCAUUUAGGUGCAGCGUCGUGUGUUUCUUGCCGGAGGUAGAGCACUGGAUAGGCGAUGGGCCCUACCGGGUUACUGACCUUAGCCAAACUCCGAAUGCCGGUAAGUGAGAGCGCGGCAGUGAGACUGUGGGGGAUAAGCUCCAUGGUCGAGAGGGAAACAGCCCAGAGCAUCGACUAAGGCCCCUAAGCGUACGCUAAGUGGGAAAGGAUGUGGAGUCGCACAGACAACCAGGAGGUUGGCUUAGAAGCAGCCACCCUUGAAAGAGUGCGUAAUAGCUCACUGGUCUAGUGAUUCCGCGCCGACAAUGUAGCGGGGCUCAAGCGUACCGCCGAAGUCGUGUCAUUCACACAAUAGCCCCAACGGGUGUGUGGAUGGGUAGGGGAGCGUCGUCUGCCGGGUGAAGCAGCCGUGUAAGCGAGUUGUGGACGGUUGACGAGUGAGAAUGCAGGCAUGAGUAGCGAUUCACACGUGAGAAACGUGUGCGCCGAUUGACUAAGGGUUCCUGGGUCAAGCUGAUCUGCCCAGGGUAAGUCGGGACCUAAGGCGAGGCCGACAGGCGUAGUCGAUGGAUAACCGGUUGAUAUUCCGGUACCCGCUGUGAAGCGUCAAACAUCGAGCAUCGUGAUGCUAAGGCCGUGAAGCCGCCCCUGAUCUCUUCGGAGUGAGGGGGAGUGGUGGAGCCGCUGAACCAAGCGGUUAGUAGGUGAGUGAUGGGGUGACGCAGGAAGGUAGUCCAGCCCGGGCGGUGGUUGUCCCGGGGUAAGGGUGUAGGCCGUGCGGUAGGUAAAUCCGUCGCACACAGGGCUGAGACCUGAUGCCGAGCCGAUUGUGGUGAAGUGGAUGAUCCUAUGCUGUCGAGAAAAGCCUCUAGCGAGUUUCAUGGCGGCCCGUACCCUAAACCGACUCAGGUGGUCAGGUAGAGAAUACCGAGGCGUUCGGGUGAACUAUGGUUAAGGAACUCGGCAAAAUGCCCCCGUAACUUCGGGAGAAGGGGGGCCACAUCUGGUGAUGAGCUUCGCGCUCUGAGCUGGGGGUGGCCGCAGAGACCAGCGAGAAGCGACUGUUUACUAAAAACACAGGUCCGUGCGAAGCCGUAAGGCGAUGUAUACGGACUGACGCCUGCCCGGUGCUGGAACGUUAAGGGGACCGGUUAGCUCCAUUUCGGUGGGGCGAAGCUGAGAACUUAAGCGCCAGUAAACGGCGGUGGUAACUAUAACCAUCCUAAGGUAGCGAAAUUCCUUGUCGGGUAAGUUCCGACCUGCACGAAUGGCGUAACGACUUCUCGACUGUCUCAACCAUAGGCCCGGUGAAAUUGCACUACGAGUAAAGAUGCUCGUUUCGCGCAGCAGGACGGAAAGACCCCGGGACCUUUACUACAGUUUGAUAUUGGUGUUCGGUUCGGCUUGUGUAGGAUAGCUGGGAGACUGUGAAGCGCUAACGCCAGUUAGUGUGGAGUCGUCGUUGAAAUACCAGUCUGGUCGUGCUGGAUGUCUAACCUGGGUCCGUGAUCCGGAUCAGGGACAGUGUCUGAUGGGUAGUUUAACUGGGGCGGUUGCCUCCUAAAGGGUAACGGAGGCGCCCAAAGGUUCCCUCAGCCUGGUUGGCAAUCAGGUGUUGAGUGUAAGUGCACAAGGGAGCUUGACUGUGAGACCGACGGGUCGAGCAGGGACGAAAGUCGGGACUAGUGAUCCGGCGGUGGCUUGUGGAAGCGCCGUCGCUCAACGGAUAAAAGGUACCCCGGGGAUAACAGGCUGAUCUUCCCCAAGAGUCCAUAUCGACGGGAUGGUUUGGCACCUCGAUGUCGGCUCGUCGCAUCCUGGGGCUGGAGUCGGUCCCAAGGGUUGGGCUGUUCGCCCAUUAAAGCGGUACGCGAGCUGGGUUUAGAACGUCGUGAGACAGUUCGGUCCCUAUCCGCUGUGCGCGUAGGAGUCUUGAGAAGGGCUGUCCCUAGUACGAGAGGACCGGGACGGACGAACCUCUGGUGUGCCAGUUGUUCUGCCAAGGGCAUGGCUGGUUGGCUACGUUCGGGAGGGAUAACCGCUGAAAGCAUCUAAGCGGGAAGCCUGCUUCGAGAUGAGGACUCCCACCCACUUGAUGGGGUAAGGCUCCCAGUAGACGACUGGGUUGAUAGGCCGGAUAUGGAAGCACGGUAACGUGUGGAGUUGACCGGUACUAAUAGGCCGAGGGCUUGUCCUC
RNAcentral lists this ribosomal RNA (3120 nucleotides) under Streptomyces chartreusis NRRL 3882. RNAcentral describes it as "bacterial LSU rRNA". It matches the Rfam family "Bacterial large subunit ribosomal RNA". Lineage: Bacteria; Bacillati; Actinomycetota; Actinomycetes; Kitasatosporales; Streptomycetaceae. The record is from RNAcentral.